Molecule: non-coding RNA, 2124 nt
Organism: Caretta caretta (loggerhead turtle)
Lineage: Eukaryota; Metazoa; Chordata; Testudines; Cheloniidae
Source: the annotation of a RefSeq genome assembly
AUGGGGGAGCUCCCACAACCCCCCUCUGUGUUCCCUUUGUUCCCCUGUUGUGACGACAUUGCUGGGAGCUCCACUUGUGAGGUGACUGUAGCCUGCCUCGUGACUGGCUAUUUCCCGGAGCCCGUGGACAUCAAGUGGAAUUCUGGCACAGUGACCAAUGGGAUCAAGACCUUCCCAGCCGCGGCACAGAGCAGUGGCAGGGCCUUCACCCUCAUCAGCCAGCUCACCGUCCCUGCCUGGGACCUGGUGAACAACACCUACCAGUGCAGUGUGGAGCACACUCCCUCCCAUAAAAAGAUAGAUGUGGAGAUCACGAAUGGUAUCCAUUUUCUCUCUUUGCUCCCAGUAUGUGAGGCUCUCAUUCAUCCUGAGGUUCGCCUCCUAGGCCCCUCCUGUGAGCGCAACACCUUGGAGAAGCAGCUGGAGGUGGUUUGCCUCCUCCUGAGAUUCAGCCCCGGUGCAGCCAAAGUGGAAUGGCUGGUGAAUGGCGAGAAGGGGAACCUUCCCACCACGGACUUGUCCAUUUGGAAGGGCACAGACGGCUCCUACAUGGGCCAGAGCCGAGUGAACGUCACCAAGGAGAGCUGGGAGAAGGAGGACGUCUACACCUGUAAAGUGACCCACCCAGCGAGGGGAACGGAGCACUUCAUGCACAACACCAGCAAGUGCUUGGCCUGUCUCGGUAACUCAGUGGCUCCAUCCGUCUUUGUCACCGAGCCGUCCUACGAUGACCUGAUUGGGGAGACAGCCCGUGUGAUGUGCUUGGUGCUGGGCUAUAUCUUGGUAGAUGUUCAGGUGGCUUGGGAAGUGGAUGGGAAAGCCAGCUCUGAGGUGGAGACAGGAGCCCCGGAACAAGCCAAUGGGACUCAGAGCAUCACCAGCACCCACAAAAUAACCUUGGAGCAAUGGAAGAGCAGGACCAACUUCACUUGCAAAGUGAAACUUCCUUGUUUUGGAGAAGUCACCCAGGAUAUGCCACUCAUGGACACGACCUACCCUGCCCAUGAGCCUACUGUCUCAGCCAGUGUCUCCUGCCCGGACCCAGAGGAAACUCCAAGGAAGAGAGAUUCCCACACGUUCCUCUGCGACGUCACUGGAUUCUUCCCAGCAGACAUCAGUUUCCGCUGGGAGCACAACGGCUCCAUAGUUCCUGCCUCCCAGUACAGCAGUGGCCCCAUCGUCAGAUCUGGCCAGGCCUACUCCGCUCAGAGGAUCUUGAGAGUCCCCAGGCCCAAGGGGGAAGGAGAAGCGGGGCCCCAGUAUUUCUGCCUGGUGUGGCACAUGACGCUGAAUGAAACCUUGAAGGUCAAGGUGAAGGCAGGGAAUUGUGACGGAAACUGUAAUCAACAUCCUCUGGAGGUCUUUCUCCUUCCCCCUUCCCUGGAGGAUCUCUACAUAGGGCAGAACGCCACCAUCAGUUGUUUGGUGAGUAGCAUGGAGACCCGCGGAAGCCUGGAGGUCUCCUGGAACUGGGGUAGCGGUGGCUCAUUGGCCAUGGUCUCCAGGGAGCCGGUGCUGCAGGAAAAUGGCACCUACAGUGCAACCAUCAUCCUGCGGGUGUGCGUGGAGGAGUGGCAGGCGGGGGAGGAGUUCACCUGCACAGUGAAGCACCAAGACAUCCCGUCGGCCAUUGUCAAGAGCAUCCACAAGAGUCAUGCGGUCUCUCCCCGUAACCCUUCUGUCUACAUCUUCCCUCCUCACGCUGAGGAGCUGGCUCUCCGGGAAUCGGCCACCAUCACCUGCCUGGCCUCCGGCUUCCGGCCCAGAGACAUCUUGGUGACAUGGACCCAGCAGGACCGACCCGUGCCCCAGGAAGCCUACACCAACAUCGGCCCCGUCCGGGAGGCCGGGAAGGAGGAGCGCUACUUCAUCUACAGCAAGCUCAAUGUCUUGGCAUCUGAAUGGGGACGGGGGGACACGUACGCCUGCGUGGUGGGGCACGAGGGUCUGCCCAUGACCUUCGUCCAGCGGAGCGUGGACAAAGCCUCCGGUAAACCCACCGCCGUCAAUGUCUGUGAUCUUGUCCGAUACCGACGUCACCUGCUACUGAGGAGCAAAGCCGCGUGGGCUCCUCACGGCAUAUCUGAGAUGGCCAGGGAACCUCGUGGGGUCUGGGAUUCCUCU